This 589-nucleotide ribosomal RNA is filed under the name uncultured bacterium. Its description in RNAcentral is "bacterial SSU rRNA". It matches the Rfam family "Bacterial small subunit ribosomal RNA", at positions 338 to 943 of the family's 1533-position model. The record is from RNAcentral.
CCUACGGGAGGCAGCAGUGGGGAAUCUUGCGCAAUGGGCGAAAGCCUGACGCAGCAACGCCGCGUGCGGGAAGAAGGCUUUCGGGCUGUAAACCGCUUUCAGCAGGAACGAAAAUGACGGUACCUGCAGAAGAAGGAGCGGCCAACUAUGUGCCAGCAGCCGCGGUGAUACAUAGGCUUCAAGCGUUGUCCGGAUUUAUUGGGCGUAAAGAGUUCGUAGGCGGUCGAGUAAGUCGGGUGUGAAAAUUCUGGGCUCAACCCAGAGACGCCACCCGAUACUGCUUAACUUGAGUUCGAUAGGGGAGUGGGGAAUUCCUAGUGUAGCGGUGAAAUGCGCAGAUAUUAGGAGGAACACCGGUGGCGAAGGCGCCACUCUGGAUCGAUACUGACGCUGAGGAACGAAAGCAUGGGUAGCAAACAGGAUUAGAUACCCUGGUAGUCCAUGCCGUAAACGGUGGGCACUAGGUGUGGGAUUCUAUUAACGAAUUCCGCGCCGUCGCUAACGCAUUAAGUGCCCCGCCUGGGGAGUACGGUCGCAAGCUAAACUUAAAUGAAUUGAGGCUUGNGAGUUGCGAGCGCACGAGGGAGAG